AACGAACGCUGGCGGCAUGCCUAACACAUGCAAGUCGAACGAGACCUUCGGGUCUAGUGGCGCACGGGUGCGUAACGCGUGGGAAUCUGCCCUUGGGUUCGGAAUAACAGUUAGAAAUGACUGCUAAUACCGGAUGAUGUCUUCGGACCAAAGAUUUAUCGCCCAGGGAUGAGCCCGCGUAGGAUUAGCUAGUUGGUGGGGUAAAGGCCUACCAAGGCGACGAUCCUUAGCUGGUCUGAGAGGAUGAUCAGCCACACUGGGACUGAGACACGGCCCAGACUCCUACGGGAGGCAGCAGUGGGGGAAUAUUGGACAAUGGGCGAAAGACCUGAGUCCACGCAAUGCCGCGUGAGUGAUGAAGG
Molecule: ribosomal RNA, 362 nt
Filed under: uncultured bacterium
Lineage: Bacteria
Description: bacterial SSU rRNA
Rfam family: Bacterial small subunit ribosomal RNA
Source: RNAcentral